Molecule: non-coding RNA, 30 nt
Filed under: Rattus norvegicus (Norway rat)
Lineage: Eukaryota; Metazoa; Chordata; Mammalia; Rodentia; Muridae
Source: RNAcentral
UGGAUGGAUGUAAUAUCAAGCUGCCUUCUA